This 71-nucleotide transfer RNA is filed under the name Neoepinnula minetomai. RNAcentral describes it as "tRNA-Thr". It matches the Rfam family "tRNA". From Rfam's summary of the family: Transfer RNA (tRNA) molecules are approximately 80 nucleotides in length. Their secondary structure includes four short double-helical elements and three loops (D, anti-codon, and T loops). Lineage: Eukaryota; Metazoa; Chordata; Actinopteri; Scombriformes; Gempylidae. The record is from RNAcentral.
GCAUUUGUAGCUCAAUGACAGAGCGCCGGUCUUGUAAGCCGGACGCGGAGGUUCAACUCCUCCCUUUUGCU